This 524-nucleotide ribosomal RNA is filed under the name uncultured bacterium. RNAcentral's name for it is "partial 16S ribosomal RNA". The record is from RNAcentral.
AUACUAUUGCGCGGUUACCGCGGCUGCUGGCACGGAGUUAGCCGGUGCUUCUUCUGCGAGUAACGUCACAGAUGUAAGGUAUUAACUUACACCCUUUCCUCCUCGCUGAAAGUGCUUUACAACCCGAAGGCCUUCUUCACACACGCGGCAUGGCUGCAUCAGGGUUUCCCCCAUUGUGCAAUAUUCCCCACUGCUGCCUCCCGUAGGAGUCUGGGCCGUGUCUCAGUCCCAGUGUGGCUGAUCAUCCUCUCAGACCAGCUAGGGAUCGUCGCCUAGGUGAGCCUUUACCUCACCUACUAGCUAAUCCCACCUGGGCUUAUCCAUCAGCGCAAGGCCCGAAGGUCCCCUGCUUUCCCCCGUAGGGCGUAUGCGGUAUUAGCAGUCGUUUCCAACUGUUAUCCCCCACAAAUGGGCAAAUUCCCAGGCAUUACUCACCCGUCCGCCGCUCGUCAUCUUCAAAAGCAAGCUUUUGAAAUGUUACCGCUCGACUUGCAUGUGUUAGGCCUGCCGCCAGCGUUCAAUCU